CAUAGAUGAACAACGGUAUUAAGGGUUACAAUUUUUCGAGUUUAUCUGCAAGUUCAGUUACAUUCUGUUACGAAGUCUAGCGUGAUGCCAUUUUGUGUUUGUUUGCAAGUAUGGAGCUGUGGAAUUUGUUUAUCUGUCAUGUUGAGAUUCCUUUGGUGUUUGUGGAAGACACCAUCAAACUAACAUCUCGGAGGUACAUAUCCUAGCGAAUGGUAAAUUAUUCAUGCUUUAGAGCUUAAAAUGCAUUCAUUUAAAAGUUAACCCGUGCGAUGAACAUUACUACCAUACUUAAUUCAUACUUCGCUUAUCUCCUUUGGUGGACUUCGAAUUUGUUUACAUCUACUUAGCACUGCUGUAGUAGUUAACAUGUGAAAAUCAUUCUUAAUGAAUCCAGGAGUUGAAUUUGUAGAAGACCCAAAUUUAUUUGCUGCCAAAGACAUGAACCUCUUUUGUAGUUUACAAUUUUUGUUGGUUUUGAGAUUUGUCUCCAGUAGUUGGAACCAACAGAUGUUAAUUCUUAUAAGAUUGUAAGUAUGCAGAGUGAGUUCCUUAGAAGUUGAAUUCAUUGAAGACGGAAAUUGAUCUGGUGUUUACGGUGAUGAGGUCAUUGCAUUUUUUGUUAACAUUCUGUUCUGCAACAAAGAGAAGAAAAACAUUGAAUUUGUACUCAACUUCAAAAAAUGUUGCACCUGCCCGUGGGAAAAAAAGGGCACAAAAAGCAGUAGAUAACAAGAAAAUCGAAUUUGAAUCAACCUUUCCCUAAAGAGUAAAUUUUAACUGUAAGAAUUGCACCCCUUAAAGAUGUUGCACGAAGUGGUUGUCUACAUGGAGUGACCAUAAAAUGAAGGUUCAAGGUUGCAAAGGAAUUGAAGGCCGACAAGCUAGGUUGUGGGAGAGUUGAGGAAUGGGGACAUUUGUGGUGAGAUUGAGGUGCUUUGUUAAAUGCAACGUCUCUUCCAAGUGCACGCUAAAAGAUUCAAUCUGUUACUAUCUCCGUCCCCAAUAAAUAUAUAGGCGGAGUUGUAAAAAUUUGUAGUCUCAUUAGAUAGGCGGACUUUCAAUUUUAAGAUGGGUUUUUCCACAUAUUAUCCUUAUUUAUUAUAGGUAGUUAUUAUUAUAAUUAAGUUAAUGUUUCUAAUAUUGGAAAUUGUACAAAGGCUGAAACAAGAAAGAU
Papaver somniferum (opium poppy) is the source of this 1174-nucleotide long non-coding RNA. RefSeq lists it as uncharacterized. The transcript has 3 exons. NCBI's taxonomy places the organism in Eukaryota, Viridiplantae, Streptophyta, Magnoliopsida, Ranunculales, Papaveraceae. The record is from RefSeq and is a predicted model, not a curated record.